CUUUAUAUCAUUUUCGUCUCUUUUUCUUCGUUUCUUCCGUCGAUAGCAUAAGCAGAAAUGGGAGAAAACCCUAGAUCCCCUUAAUAUCUCAAAUGAUCUCGUUAAUCUCCUAACUCAUCUCUGCUUCUCCUUAAUCUCAAACUCCUAGUGUCACAUGGUUAAUCAUUUUGGGUUUUCUUUUGGCUGCUUAAUUGUCAUAUAUUGCCAACGAAAAACUUCGUUGGUUGCAGGUAAUGAAUGACUUGGAUACUGAAUGUUUUGUAAUUUCGGUAUGAUUAUAAGACUUGGGUUCUGCUUAAAAGUUGAAUUCGGAUGUGAAGGAGUUAAUAAAGGAGACGAAUACAACAAGGAAAACGCCAACAGUACUGCACAUGAGUUGUUUGAUAUAAGGCCUCAAAGAAUGGGAAAUGGAUGGAUUAAGUGAUUGUGUCUGAUCACUUGAGAGAAAACAGAGACAAGGGCACUGAUGUAUAGACGGUGUAUAGAACUGCAUCUAAAAGCAUUCCUUGCUUCUAUAGUAGAAAGGUAUAUUGCAUGAUCUUUGGUUGCUGAUAACUUUUGCAAGCCAGUGUUGACUACAUGUUUGUCAUUUGAGAUUUAUGAAUUAUGUUUUCAAGGCAAUCAAAUAACAUGGUUGCAGGAGAGUUACAUCCAUGGUGACUCCUACACAUCUCUGUUAACCAUUGAUUGCAAUUAUGUAUGCUGUAAUAUUCCAAGUUGUAAUCCUUAGGUAGACUCUGAUUUCAUCUUACUACUACCGUGGUAGUUUUUUUCUUUUUGUUUUUUGUUUACAUGUAUAUAUAAAUCUCUUUUGUCCACAACUUGUUUUUCAGUUCAAUCUUAUUACUGAAGUGAGCAAUAAAAAGUUAA
Molecule: long non-coding RNA, 870 nt
Organism: Papaver somniferum (opium poppy)
Lineage: Eukaryota; Viridiplantae; Streptophyta; Magnoliopsida; Ranunculales; Papaveraceae
Exons: 2
Source: RefSeq, a predicted model, not a curated record